RNAcentral lists this ribosomal RNA (247 nucleotides) under uncultured bacterium. Its description in RNAcentral is "partial 16S ribosomal RNA". It matches the Rfam family "Bacterial small subunit ribosomal RNA", at positions 523 to 769 of the family's 1533-position model. The record is from RNAcentral.
AUACGGAGGGUGCGAGCGUUGUUCGGAAUUAUUGGGCGUAAAGCGCGUGUAGGCGGUUUGUUAAGUCUGAUGUGAAAGCCCCGGGCUCAACCUGGGAAGUGCAUUGGAUACUGGCAGACUUGAAUACGGGAGAGGGCAGUGGAAUUCCUGGUGUAGGAGUGAAAUCCGUAGAUAUCAGGAGGAACACCGGUGGCGAAGGCGACUCUCUGGACUGUAACUGACGCUGAGGCUCGAAAGCGUGGGGAGC